Molecule: long non-coding RNA, 11610 nt
Filed under: Gossypium barbadense (sea-island cotton)
Lineage: Eukaryota; Viridiplantae; Streptophyta; Magnoliopsida; Malvales; Malvaceae
Description: long non-coding RNA (GBAR_LNC004836)
Source: RNAcentral
AUGUAGAAGGAGAUUUCAAUAUCACAGAAAACCCGAAAAGGCAGAGAGUUCCUCCCUCUCAUGAAAACUAGCUGGAGGCUAGAUUUACUGCAAGUGAGCUGAAAACCAAUACGAUGGUUUGAGUUUUUCGAGCAGCUGAGCAGCAGGUUUGCUUCCAAGAGUUCCUUGCUGGAUCUAGGAAAAUAUGUUUCAACCAACAAGCAACCAGGAAUGGUCAACAAGAAAACUGAAUACGCUUGAUAUGAAGAUUUUCAUUCUGUCACAUAUAUGCAUUUCCACCAAUUGAAUAUAAUUACCUCGUCUUUGAAAUGUUUUUUGUAGCGAACAAGUUGUAGCCAGUUCCCAUAAUCAGUGAUGCUGAGAGGCCAAUCGUGUGAAAGGAAAAUAUCCAUCAGUUCCUCUAGGUGCAUAAGCUUGUGAACAUCGUAUUCCCGGACAUGAUACACAGACCUGAUAGUAUUGUCAUUAUAAGGUGGCCUUUCAUGGUGUCCUGCUCAAGGAAACGCUAAUUCAUUUCAGUUUCAAAGCUUCGACUCUCCACCCUAAAUAAGAAUCAAUAUACAUAUCUGGCACUCGCUUGCAGUAAAUAAACAAUCACCAUUAAAAGAACUCCAGAAUAAACAUAGAAUAGACAAGUAAAAGAACUUCAUACCGAACCUAAACAAUAAUUACGCGCAUUGUAAAUUCCGGAAAGUCCACCGAUACGGAUAUUGCCAACCUUCACAACCACAGCAUACCCCAAGAAGUAUAUAUUAGGUGCUGCCCAUCCCCCAUAAUACCUAAAGUUCACACAUUUCAAUCGCAGAAGGUAAAAUUCAAGGCCUUUUCAUAAAAGAAUCAAAAUCCCCAAGCUAGAACAUAUGAAGAAAAGGGGGUGACUUACAAUUCCCAUAAAUAAUUGGAAGCUUCAUGAUUUUUGCACCUGCAAAACAGAUAAUGACACUAAAAAUUCUGAACCGGGACAGGAAAUGAUGGGAAUAUUCUAGGAAUAGCUUAUUCCGAAACAGGAUAUGAUGGGGAUAUCCGUGAGGCAGAAUACGAAUGAAAACUAACUAGAACAAGACACUAGAAAAAUCUGUUCCGAUGCAAAGCUAAGCCCAACAACACAGUACUUACUAAAACGUUGUUCUGAAAAUAUUUAAAAACUCGGUAUGUUUUAAUUAGUGUUUAAGCAAAGAUUUAAAAGAAAUAGAAAAUAACACAAAAGCUAUAAUAUUAACCAGAGGGAAACAAACAAUCCAAAAAUAAAGAACAUAUAGUAGACGAUAAACAAACAAAAAUGAAGAACAAGACCGACAUCUAUAGAUCUGAAAGACGGAACGAGACAGUGAUUUCUAAAGCUGAAAAUCAAAAACCCUAAGAAAAACCAACUGAAAUACAAGUAUAAAAGAAUGGAGCUGAAACUAAAAAAGAGAUUAAUACCUGAAAUGAGUCUCCGUUGAAGCAGAGAAUUUCAAAAAUCACAAAAACCAGAAACGCCAGAGAAAACAUAGGGUUUCUCUCUCACGAAAACUCUCUUCCUACAAUAGCAUGUGUUUUUUUGGCCUGUGGAUACCCAAAGCUAAAAAAGAAUGACAGGAAAACUUCGAAAAGAGACCGAGAGUGAGAGAGAACCGCCGAAGAAAUGGGGAGCAAUGGAUUGGAUAGAUAUAUUUGAGGAUUUAAAUUUCGAAUGAUGGGAAGGAAGCUGGCCUCAUCGGAGGUAAGACGCCGGAAAGUGUGUGGAGGCAGCGGCAGCGGUUUGUUAGAAAGGACAAUAAAGGAGGAAAAGAGAAAAAAAGAAAAAUAGUAGAAAAAUGGAGAAAAGGGAAGGGAAUUAAGGGAGAACCGAACGUGAGAGAGAUGAAUUAAGAAAGUUUUUAUAUUAUCUAUUUUGAAAACGGUUUGAAUUUUGUUUUAUGUUUUGAAAAAAUUUCGGAUAUUAAAAUAACUAAAUAACCAGUAUGUACAUAAAACUCAAUAAAACCCAAACCCAGUAAUCCAAAACUUAAGCGUCCACAGCCCCAACCACUAAAACUAAAGCCCAAAAACACCAGCCCAACCGUAAACCCAAGCCCCAAGCCUCACACCCCUAAAUCCAAAUCGGGAUAUUCUGGGAAUGAGAUAAACCAAAGCCGGGAUAUCCUUCGGCGGGAUAUCACAAAGCCGGGAUAUCCACAGAAUAGGAUAUCCCUAGUCGGAAUAAGAACGACAGGUAAUCCGGUUCAGACACGAAAAAAAUCUGAACCGGCCACCAAAACAACUAAACCGGACAAUAAAAAUGCAGAACCGGGACAGGAUAUGAGGUGAAUAUUCUAGGAAUAGCUUAUUCCGCAUCGGGAUACCAGCGGAAUAUCCCUGGCUGGAAAUAAGAACGAAAAUUAACUGGAACAAGAAAAAAAAUAGAUUUUUUUAAUUAUUUUCCGUAAUAGUAAUUCAGUCCCAGUAAUUUUCCUAAUGCCCCGAGCUUCUCUUUGACAAUACGAUACCGUCUCCGAUCUUCAUUUCAUUUCCUUUUCAUUCCAGAAUUUUUUUUUCUUUGAAAUUACAACUUAGGCCUUUUUUUUUUCUUAAAAAAACUCAGUAUGAUUCAAUUAGUUUUUUUCUUAUUCCCUCAACAAAUAUAAUGUUUUUACUAGUUGAAAAAGGGAAAACCAGGAUACGAUGUGAAUAUUCAAAAAAUAGCUUAUUCCGAAGCAGGUUAAAACAGGGAUAUCCCUGACGCAGAAAAGAACGAAAAUUAACUAGAACAAGAAAAAAAAAUAGAUUUUUUAAUUAAUUUCCUCAAUAGUCUUUCAGUCCCAGUAAUUUUCCUAAUGCCCCGAGCUUCUCUUUGACGAUACGAUACCCUCUCCGAUCUUUCAUUUCAUUUCCAUUUCAUUCCAGAUUUUUUUUUUUCUUUGAUAUUACCACUUGGGCUUUUUUUUUUAAAAAAAACUCAGUAUGAUUUAAUUAGUGUUUUCUUAUUCCCUCAACAAAUAUAAUGUUUUUACUAGUUGAAAAAGGGAAAACCAGGAGACAAUAAAAGGGAAAGAAACAAGAAAAUGUUUCCAUUUACCUUCUGCUAAUCAGUUAUGGUUUUAGGGUGGAUACCUACAUAGUUGUUAGAAACAUAUCUUCGCUAUAAAAUCUCAUAGGACUGAAAGAUUUAUAAGAAAAUGUCCUUAAAUAAGGAGGGAAACAAACAAUCGAAAAAAAUAAAACACAUAACAAGCGAUAAACUAUCACAAAAAAAAAUGAAGACAUCACAAGAUUUAAAAAGACAAAUAUAAGUAGUGUUUCAUAAGGCUGAACACCAAAACGAAUAACAAAAACACACUGAAAAAACUAAAAAAGAAGCAUAAAUCUGAAAACUAAAACAGAGAUGAAAACUUGUUCUAAAGAUGAAAACCACAACACCCACAGAAAUAAAAGAAGAUAAGCAUAGGUCUGAAACUAAAAAAGACGUGAAAAGAAAAAGUUAGUAGAAGUGAAAAUCAUACCUGAAAUUACAAUCCGAUGAAGAGUGGGAUUUCAAUAGCCUGCUGUAGCAAGUGUGUUCUUUUGGCAUGUGUUUACACAAAAUAUACAAAAGAAAUCAGGAAAAAAAAUGGAAAGAUACCCAGAUAGAAUCUGUGUAGUAAAGAAAGGGAGGAAGAGAAAAUAAAAAAACAAUAAUAAAAAGAAAAGAAAAAGAAAGUAAAAAAUCAGAAUAAAGGGAGACAGAGGAGACACAAUUUACAGGAGAAAGAAGGAUCUCUCAUCAAGGAUUUAGAGAGACGUCGGAAGCUGUUUAAUGUAUCAUUUAAUUAUCAAAAGACACUAUGAUACCUGUAGGCCUGGUCUGACCUGAACUUCGACAAUGUUAAACUCACAACAGUAAUUUUAAACCAGGCCAAAAAUAGGAUGAAAAUCUGUAAAGUGAAUACUCAGGAAUGUGUCAUAACAAAGAAUCAAUCAUAAUAGUAGGAUGAAAACUGAGUGUUUGAAUUGAUUACAACUUGUUAGAGUUAAUUUUUUUUCAAGAAAAACUUCCUUGCGAAUGUCAAAUAUCCGCUUUGCCCUCGAGUUUAAGCUGAUGGCCAAGCCAUGACUGUUGGAGCAAGCUCCCCACACUUGCUUCACUUGAAGGCAGCCUCCUCUUGCGUGGAGAGCAUGCGGUGGAAUUCCAUCAUUGACCUUCGAGUUUCCAUUUCCCAUUCACGGAUUGCAUAUUACAAGCAAUGCUUUAAAAGAAAAACUGCUUGAACAAGAUAGGAUAACUUGUUUCUAAUAUGUUACCUGUAAAGUCAGAUCUAAGAGUUUCACAUAAACGUUGCACUUGUUCCAUGCACGGUGAGAAGGAACACAGAGUUCCAUCUUGUUUCAACAUGUUUCAACCUGAAGGAAUGGCUAGCCAAGGUUGGGGUAGGUCCAGAAAUACGGAGUCAGCCAACCCAGAAAACUGAUCGGGAAAUCCCUCACCCUGAAUAUCUCGGACUCCCAUUGUGACUAAAGUGCUUAUUCCAGUCCCUCUUGAAGUCCUCUCUGUUGAAGGAGUGAAAAAUCGUCAAACAUUCCUUCUUUCGCGAACCAACACAGAAGAAUCAAAGGAAAAUAAACAACCAUAUAAUGGGAUAAAAUAUGCAUCAUAAAUGAGUCCUACGCAAGGUUCCAUAAAACCGAGAUAAUUUUGAGACUACGAAGCAUGACAGCAACAGAAUCUCGUAUUUCAAACAAUACAUCUACCUGAACAGACUUCUUAAAUCUACCUAGAAUUCAAGCUCAACCCAAGCAGUUUCUAAAAUCAUAUUUCAUAACAAUCUUUGAAACCAAAAUUUCAUACAAUGCACUCACUAAUGAAACUAAUAAAGAUUUGUAAACCGAGACAAUUAGAGACAAUGAAGUAUCACGGCAACAAAAUGUAGAUCUAUGAAGACAUCAACUCAAGAUAACCCAGUAUUCAAGUUUAACCUAAGCAAUUACUAUGUCAUAUUUCAUCACAAUGCACUUUUGCAAACAAUAAACAUUUAGGCUUACCUAGCUGAGGCAGCCCUCUGUUCAUGGAAAUCAAAGGUAUACACAUGUCCCGUUGGCACCACGGCCCUUGCAAACAAUGUUGUUAAUGAGCCACUACCGGUCCCGGAUUCAAGAACCAAACAACCCGGAACUACUUCCAAGUACAUAAUCACAAAGCUAAUAUCCGCAAUAUAAAGAAUCUGAGUCCUAUGACUUAGAACCAAAGUCCAUAACUCCGGUGUCGAAGCCAAUAGGUAAAGGAAUCCACCUCUGUUGCUGAAAAUUAUGGCACAUCAUGCUAUCUUUCUUCAGAGUGAUACCAAAAAGAAGAAAAAAUAAGUACCUAGGUAGCAUAAGAUAACAAUAUGAUCGUCACUGUAAUGGCUCUAGACAAUGAAACCCAGAUAACUAAGACUGCUAGGAGAUAAACAGUAAUUUAAUAUCUUCCUUAACAACUGAACCUUGGCCUGGUGAAAAAGGGAUUCACCAAAAACAUGCCAAUGGAAGCGUAAAAUAUAAGACUUGAACACGGGUGCCAACAUAAUAAAACAGAACGCAAUCACGGAUGACUUUGAGCAGAAAAGGAAAAAAGAAAUCAAAGAAUAAAUUCCAUGCUACCUCUAGACAAGUUCUACUAAAAAAGGAAAUUGAAAUAAAAACCUAACUGAACUCAAGCAUUACGGGACUUUGUUCCUUGACCUCCAUAAGAUGUCUCAAGCACGAAUCUAACGGUUUAUUGCAUAUCUAAUAUGCCAUAUAUUUUUCAAGUCAUGCUAUAUACUUCUUGAUUCAUUACAGACAACUUAUACAUCAGAACAUUUCAAGAUAAGAAAUCACAAAGUAAAGUUCCUCACCAAUAUCCUCCAAUGUCGAAGGUUCUGUGCCUGUACUCCUCUUAUCUCCAUUGGAUUUACCUUCAGUCCCAUCAUCCUUCUCAUAAUUGUUUGGUCUAAGAUCAGGACCAAUAUCCCUUACCCAACUUUCAGCAUAAAGCCUAGAGGCCUCCUUCAAGACCUAAAGAAAGAUGACAGGUUUUUACUACUUAUAUACUAAAAAUAAAUAAAUGCCUAUUAUUCCCUAAUGCAUAGGCAAAUAAUAGGUUCUUGAGCAUUAUUUGACAUUCAAGUGGUUAAGUUAACCAUCAAGUAAGCAGAACAGUACAUAAAAGUCAUUUGAUCAUUUCAAUAUCCCAAUGAUCUAAUUUCCACCCUGAUCACCAGCUAGCAUCUGUGAAAUUUCAAAUUUCCAUUAUGCUUCUUUAAAAUUUGUUAAAUGGAACAAAAGCAAAAAAAUAUAUAUUAUAAAAAGGAAGUGGCAAAAUCAUCAUAUUUGAGUAGAAAUUGCUAAUAGUUCAGACUUAAAGUACUUCCAAACAUACGUUCUUGAUUUAUAGUAAAAAAACCAUGCGUUUUUUUUCUUCCAAAAAAUGGCUUCAGAAUUCUAAAAUGUUUUAUUGAGAAAAUGAACAAAGAAAAAGUUUAAAGAACUAGAAUUUAUUGAGAAAUCUCUGGAAACAAACAAAUCGGGAAAAUCGAGAAGGAUUAGAGGAAGAUAGAAAGAGGAACCUUGAUGAUUCUUCGAGGGAAAUUACUAUUGGCAAUUGGCAAGCUUUGAUUGAUGAAUCAAAAAGGGAAAUCAAAAAUAUAUAAUUAGGGUUUUGAGAAUAGGGAGAUAGAGAAAAUUCAAGAAUACAAAAAACAGAGGAAAGAAGAAAGGUCCCUUUACCUUAAGGAUUUGUGUUGUUCUUUUUAUUUACCGAUAUAUGUUGUUUUUGGAGAGAAAGUAAAAACGUCAGAUGAAAACGCGCCCUAAGACAUUUUCAUUAAAAAGCCUCUUUGAUUAGGUGAUUAAAUGUUAGACCUGAUUUAUCAUUUAAUAUAACAAGUAAUUUAAAGUGGUCGCAAAACAAUUAAUUAAAAUGUUUAUAAAAAUAUUGUGAUACAAUUGGAUCAGACCUGAUCUAUCUUUUAAUAUAAAGAAUGGUUAAAAUAUAAAAUUAACUAUAAAAAUAUUAGUAAUAAUAAAUUUAAUUUUUUAAUAUUUACAUUUUUUUCAAAUAGGUCAUUAUUUAUUAUUUUUCAAAAGAGAGACUAAAGGAGAAAGAAACAUGUCAUUGAGAGAGUUUCAUUCAUUGUAAUCUUUAUGGAAAAAACAAUAUAUAUAAGUAACAUUUUCUCUUUCAUUUAUUAUUUGUUCAUGUAUCUGUCACAUUUCUUUAGAUAUGCAUUUUUUUUUUUAUUUCAGUCCUUUUAUUUUGAAAUGCAAAAAUGAUACUUAUAUGUUAAAAUAAAUAACUACUACUUCAGAAAAAGAAUAUUCGUUAAAAAAAAUAAUCUAUCCAGUUUACUUGAAACAUUAAAAUAUAUAAAUUUUACUAACAAUUGUUGAAUGUAAUAAUAUGACAAAAAACAAAAAUUCAAACUUUGAAUAUAAUAUUAUUGAAAAGGAUAAUCUCCAAUGUAAAAAAAUUUAUAAAUCGUAAAACUGAUAUAAAAAAUAAAUAAACUAUACAAAUUAAAAUUAUUUGGGAAGCUAUGUUAAGUACAUUUGGGUUUCAUUUCUUGUCAUAUUUGUAGUACCCGGCUAUCAUCCACUUAUAUUUGGAAAAAACAAUAUAUAUAAGUAACAUUUUCUCUUUCAUUUAUUAUUUGUUCAUGUAUCUGUCACAUUUCUUUAGAUAUGCAUUUUUUUUUUAUUUCAGUCCUUUUAUUUUGAAAUGCAAAAAUGAUACUUAUAUGUUAAAAUAAAUAACUACUACUUCAGAAAAAGAAUAUUCGUUAAAAAAAAUAAUCUAUCCAGUUUACUUGAAACAUUAAAAUAUAUAAAUUUUACUAACAAUUGUUGAAUGUAAUAAUAUGACAAAAAACAAAAAUUCAAACUUUGAAUAUAAUAUUAUUGAAAAGGAUAAUCUCCAAUGUAAAAAAAUUUAUAAAUCGUAAAACUGAUAUAAAAAAUAAAUAAACUAUACAAAUUAAAAUUAUUUGGGAAGCUAUGUUAAGUACAUUUGGGUUUCAUUUCUUGUCAUAUUUGUAGUACCCGGCUAUCAUCCACUUAUAUUUGAUCUUAUUUACUUCGUCUAACUCUUGUAGCUUUUAAGUGGUGUGUAAUGCUUAAACCUAAUGAUCCAGUUUUUUUAAAAAAAAUAAAACAAAUCCUAAAAUUUAAAUUACAUUUAAGUUUAUUAAAAUUAUUUUAUUUUAAAACAAUUGCUUCAAAAUUAAAUUGUUUUGGUCAAAAAUAUUUUACUAAUCUUUUUAAAAUUAAAUUCGAUCCAAAGAAAAUUUACUUUAAUUUUGACAAUUUAGAAAACAACAAUCAAAUAGAACAACACGCAUCAAAGUUAUUCCAAACAAAACCAUGAGAUUGUAGAGAGAUACCUUGGGUUGAUAUGAAUGCCCGACGUCCUCAAAAGAGAAACCUUCAUUUUCUACAUAAUUAACAAUACCAAAGCAAAAGAUGAGUAAUUUGGAUUUUUUGAAAAAUAAACCAAUAAUACGAUUCAAAUAUGAAACUUUGAAACAAAACUCUCAUUGUAAGAUCAAAAAAGGCAAGUAUACUGUGUUCUUCAUAAGAAAGAAAACAACACUUAGUUAACAUCUUCUAAUGCAACACAAUAACCACUCAUAACUACUUUGUAAUAUAAAACAACAUUUUCAGUUAAUUGCAUCCCUAAUUCCAGCCAUGCAUGCAUUUAGACAUUACCUGAAUAUUUCAAUCAAAAUCCAUUUCCAAGCCAUAUAAGCACCAGCACACAAACAAUUCCAACUAAGUUCAUCGAUGAGCUCCACUGAUGAGAGAAAGCACCUAGCAGCGUGAAAAGAAAACAAAACAUGCAUUGAUCCAUGGACAGACUAAUAUGCACCACCUUAGCACCAGAUAAAAUGCAAGACGUUUCACUCUAAAUAUGACCAUGUUCUUCUAGUUAAAAUUGAUGUUAAUUGAUCCCAAAGUCUCUUACUUUCGAUUCUAUUAGAAAACACACCACACAAACUGCAUUUUUCCUUGAAAAAAGAAAAUCAAACAGCACUUGUAUAAGGAAAGUGGCCUUAAAUACAUAUUAGCUGUAGACUAAAUGAAAACAGCCAAGUGUUCCAAGUAAUCGAAACAGCUAUUCCCUGACCUUAAAUAUAUAAAAACUGUAGAUUAAAGGAUAUCAACCUCAUUUAACACUCAAGAUUAAACUUACCAGUAAACAGAGAGUAGCAUCAAGUAGAAACUGACUUGCUUGGUGUAGAAGAAUCGACUGUCUACAACACCAUCAGUGAGACCAGACGUCACCAUGGGAUCAGCAGAUUGGACUGCAGACGGACUCGACGGGAAGCUCAUGAAUCAACUAGAACUCAAAGUACCAACCCAGAAGAACCUGAACAACUGAUACCAUGUUCAGCUAUACUGAAAACCACAAGAGUUACAGUAGUAUGAAGAUAGAGAAAACAAGAAGAUAUUUCAUUCGUAGUGUUAAUACAUGCAUUUAUAGAGAGGCUGUACAUUCUUAACAAACUAACUACUAGUUUACUGCUACUAACAACUAACCAACUUUCUUUCAAUUACUCUAACAGGCUUCCCCUAAUAUCCCUAUAUCUUGACAGUUCAGAAAAUUACAGCAUAACUUUUUCACAUUGUCAUAAUCAAAUUUCCACAUCAACCAUUAAUGAUUCGGGAAAUUUUGAAUUAAACCCAAAACACCACAAGAAGAUUGUUCAAAGAAUCAAUUUCAUGCAAUAUAAACCGAAGUCAUUAACCAAUGGCUUCAAAAGGGAAGUGGGAUCAAUUUAUUAGUUCCUUCUCCUUGGCAGGAGGCCCCCUCUUAAGUUUGGCUGCUUGUGCAAAUGUAGACGGCCUAUGAAUUAAGUAGAUUUCUUCAUCAUGCAGUUCUGACUGCUAAUCAUAUUAAAAAGAAAUCUAUGUUACUUAAAUCACUUACCGCAAGAAGGAGGAGUAUCCCUGGAGUCCGAUGCAUUAUCAAGAACAUAAGGAAGAUCUAGUAAUUCCAAGAAAGAUACAAUCUGAGGAUUACGGGGAGAACCUACACAAGGUGAGAAAAUUUUAAUAAUUAAAAAAGAAAUCGAGCAAAAACAAAUUGCAAAAGUCAUGAUUAUUCUAGUUGCAAAUCUAAAUAAAAAAGAAUGCAUUCGCUAACCAACAAUUAAUUGAGCAAAAAGAAGACAAAAAAUGAAGGAUAGUGGUUCAUAACCACUAUGACAGUAAUAUCGAGAUGCCUAACCAUUAUAGUGAUUAAUGGUAUAAAUAUGCAAACAUAUAUGGUAAGUUUCUUAAAUCCAAAAGAUAGAACCAUUAAUUGAGAUACUAUUAGCACCUCAAAAAAGGAAAAGCAUCAAAAUAUCACCAUAUUAUUUACCAGAAAAAGUAGUGUUUGAAACUGAAUCCGAGGGUUUGUGAGGUGGAGCUGUUUGAAAAAAUUCACAAGGUUUGGCUCCUCUGUCUUCCAUCCUGCUCUUAACCCAUUGACGACAAUCUUGCAUGUCGAGCUUUGUUCUCCUACAUAUUAGAACAGCAGUUGUUGGCUCACAAGUUCUUGUAGAGUAAUAGUAGUACUUGCAAAAAUAGAAAAUUGCACAUUUUCAAAUAAAACAUUAGUCCACCCCACCCGAGAGAGAGAGAGUGAGAUGAGUGGCAUGGUCAAAACAAAAAUGUCAUACAUACACACACCCAACGUCUCCACGUCGGAAGGUCAAAGGAAAGACACAGUUCAAUUUCCGUGUUAUUGCCAGCCAUUCUUCAUAGUACUGAACCUCAUAAGGUCCUAGAUCAGAUCAAUAUCAACAAUCUAAAAGAUCAGAGAAAGCCAGAAUUCAUUUAUUAGCUUCCAGCAAAGACCAAAAGAAAGAAUCUAAAUGAUCAGAUCAAUAUCAACAAUCUAAAAGAUCAGAGAAAGCCAGAAUCCAUUUAUCAGCUUCCAGCAAAGACCAAAAGAAAGAACCUAAAUGAAAUGGUCAGAACAUAUGAUAGAUACCUGCAAGAACUUGCGCCCUGGAAGGCAUUUAUCGAGUGCAAGAAAUUUUGUCACUCGACCACCCUCUUCAUGUUCAACAAGAGCGGUGAAUUUGCAGUGCAAGUGAGCUGCAAACCAAUACAAUGGUCUGAGUUUUUCGAGCAGCUGAGCAGCAGGUUUGCUUCCAAGAGUUCCUUGCUGGAUCUAGGAAAUAUGUUUCAACCAACAAGCAACCAGGAAUGGUCAACAAGAAAACUGAAUACGCUUGAUAUGAAGAUUUUCAUUCUAUCACAUAUGUCCAUUUCCACCAAUUGAAUAUAAUUACCUCAUCUUUGAAAUGUUUUUUUGUAGCAAACAAGUUGUUGCCAGUUCCCAUAAUCAAUGAUGCUGAGCGGCCAAUCGUGUGAAAGGAAAAUAUCAAUCAGUUCCUCUAGGUGCAUUAGCUUGUGAACAUCGUACACCCGAACAUGAUACACAGACCUGAUAGUAUUGUCAUUAUAAGGUGGCCUUUCAUGGUGUCCUGCUCAAGGAAAAGCUAAUUCAUUUCAGUUUCAAAGCUUCGACUCUCCACCCUAAAUAAGAAUCAAUAUAACAUAUCUGACACUCGCUUGCAGUAAAUAUACAAUCACCAUUAAAAGAACUCCAGAAUAAACAUAGAAUUUACAAGUAAAAGAACUUCAUACCCAACCUAAACAAUAAUU